This 251-nucleotide ribosomal RNA is filed under the name uncultured bacterium. RNAcentral describes it as "partial 16S ribosomal RNA". It matches the Rfam family "Bacterial small subunit ribosomal RNA", at positions 1250 to 1500 of the family's 1533-position model. The record is from RNAcentral.
CGAAAUAGUGAUAUGGAGACAAAACCCUAAAAGUAGUCUCAGUUCGGAUUGAAGGCUGAAAUUCGCCUUUAUGAAGCCGGAAUUGCUAGUAAUGGCAGGUCAGCAUACUGCCGUGAAUACGUUCCCGGGCCUUGUACACACCGCCCGUCACACCAUGAGAGUUGGGAAUACCCGAAGCCUGUGAGCUAACUUAACGGAGGCAGCAGUCGAAGGUAGAAUCAAUGAUUGGGGUGAAGUCGUAACAAGGUAGC